Molecule: long non-coding RNA, 531 nt
Filed under: Setaria viridis
Lineage: Eukaryota; Viridiplantae; Streptophyta; Magnoliopsida; Poales; Poaceae
Description: long non-coding RNA (SVIR_LNC000781)
Source: RNAcentral
UGGAGGGCAAGCACGAGGCCGCGUCGCUUUGAUUUUGCGGCGAUAGAGAUGGAUACGAUUCAUACGAAUGUACGGAUUUGUUUAUGUUCUGCGUACUCUGGCAGCUAGCACACUAGCACGCCUGUUAUUGGCCUCGUUGCCUCAAUUGCAGGCAUAGUGUGUAUAUUUAGAGGUAUUACGGGGGUGUUUGGGAGGCAUGUGCUAAAUUUUAGCACAUGUCACAUCGGAUGUUUAGACACUAAUUAGGAGUAUUAAACAUAGCCUAAUUACAAAACUAAUUGCACAACCCCUAGGCUAAAUCGCGAGACGAAUCUAUUAAGCCUAAUUAGUCCAUGAUUUGACAAUGUGGUGCUACAGUAACCAUUCGCUACUGAUGGAUUAAUUAGGCUUAAUAGAUUCGUCUCGCGAUUUAGCCUAGGGGUUGUGCAAUUAGUUUUAUAAUUAGACUAUGUUUAAUACUCCUAAUUAGUGUCCAAACAUUCGAUGUGACAGGUGCUAAAAUUUAGCACAUGCUAUCCAAACACCCCUACA